RNAcentral lists this ribosomal RNA (1485 nucleotides) under uncultured bacterium. RNAcentral's name for it is "bacterial SSU rRNA". It matches the Rfam family "Bacterial small subunit ribosomal RNA". The record is from RNAcentral.
AGAGUUUGAUCCUGGCUCAGGACUAACGCUGGCGGCGUGCCUAACACAUGCAAGUCGAACGGUAACAUGUCUGUAGCAAUACAGAUGAUGACGAGUGGCGGACGGGUGAGUAACACGUAAAUAAUCUUCCCUUUGGACGGGGACAACCCAUGGAAACGUGGGCUAAUACCCGAUAAGAAUGUCGAGUCUCAUGACUUGAUACGGAAAUCACUUAGAUGGCCGAAGGAUGAAUUUGCGUCUGAUUAGCUAGUUGGAGAGGUAAUGGCUCACCAAGGCGAUGAUCAGUAGCUGGUCUGAGAGGACGAACAGCCACACUGGAACUGAGACACGGUCCAGACUCCUACGGGAGGCAGCAGUGAGGAAUUUUGCUCAAUGGGCGCAAGCCUGAAGCAGCGACGCCGCGUGAAUGAUGAAGUUCUUCGGAAUGUAAAGUUCUUUUGGCAGGGAAAAUUAUGAUUGUACCUGCAGAAUAAGCACCGGCAAACUAUGUGCCAGCAGCCGCGGUAAUACAUAGGGUGCAAGCGUUGUCCGGAAUUACUGGGCGUAAAGAGCGUGUAGGCGGCUUUUUAAGUCGUAACCUUAAAUACAGGGGCUUAACCCCUGUCAGGGUUCGAUACUGAUAAGCUAGAGAUUGGGAGAGGAAAGCGGAACUCACAGUGUAGCGGUGAAAUGCGUAGAUACUGUGAGGAACACCCGUGGCGAAGGCGGCUUUCUGGACCAUUUCUGACGCUGAGACGCGAAAGCGUGGGGAGCAAACAGGAUUAGAUACCCUGGUAGUCCACGCUGUAAACGAUGUACAUUAGGUAUUGGGGGUAUCGACCCCUCCAGUGCCGAAGCUAACGCGUUAAAUGUACCGCCUGGGGAGUACGGUCGCAAGAUUAAAACUCAAAGGAAUUGACGGGGGCCCGCACAAGCAGUGGAUCAUGUGGUUUAAUUCGACGAUACCCGAAAAACCUUACCAAAACUUGACAUCUACGGAAUCUCACGGAAGCGUGGGAGUGCUCGCAAGAGAGCCGUAAGACAGGUGGUGCAUGGUUGUCGUCAGCUCGUGUCGUGAGAUGUUAGGUUAAGUCCUGCAACGAGCGCAACCCUCAUAUUGUGUUGCUACAUUUAGUUGAGCACUCUCAAUAGACUGCCCGUGGCAAACGGGAGGAAGGUGGGGAUGACGUCAAAUCAUCAUGCCCUUUAUGUUUUGGGCUACACACAUGAUACAAUGGUCGGUACAAAGGGAUGCGAAGCCGCAAGGUGAAGCUAAUCUCAUAAAGCCGGCCUCAGUUCAGAUCGCAGGCUGCAACUCGCCUGCGUGAAGUUGGAAUUGCUAGUAAACGCAGAUCAGCAUGCUGCGUUGAAUACGUUCCCGGGCCUUGUACACACCGCCCGUCACACCAUGAAAGCCAGAAAUAUCCGAAGUAGAUGAGCCAACCGCAAGGGGGCAGUCUCCUAAGAUAGCGCUGGUGAUUGGGGUGAAGUCGUAACAAGGUAACC